Molecule: ribosomal RNA, 453 nt
Filed under: Lobothallia alphoplaca
Lineage: Eukaryota; Fungi; Ascomycota; Lecanoromycetes; Pertusariales; Megasporaceae
Description: eukaryotic LSU rRNA
Rfam family: Eukaryotic large subunit ribosomal RNA
Source: RNAcentral
CGGGGCGUCACAGAGGGUGAGAAUCCCGUAUGUGGCCGGCGGUCAAUUCCAUGUGAAACCCCUUCGACGAGUCGAGUUGUUUGGGAAUGCAGCUCAAAAUGGGUGGUAAAUUUCAUCUAAAGCUAAAUACCGGCCAGAGACCGAUAGCGCACAAGUAGAGUGAUCGAAAGAUGAAAAGCACUUUGGAAAGAGAGUUAAACAGUACGUGAAAUUGUUGAAAGGGAAGCGCUUGCAACCAGACUUGCUCGCGGGUGAUCAGCCUCCCGUGAGGGGGGUGCACUCGCCCGCGAUCAGGCCAGCAUCGGUUUUGGCGGGCGGAUAAAGUCCCCAGGAAUGUAGCUCCCUUCGGGGAGUGUUAUAGCCUGGGGCGGAAUGCGCUCAACCGGGACCGAGGACCGCGCUUCGGCUAGGAUGCUGGCGUAAUGGUUGUAAGCGACGCGUCGUGAAACACGG